Molecule: long non-coding RNA, 2171 nt
Organism: Solanum lycopersicum (tomato)
Lineage: Eukaryota; Viridiplantae; Streptophyta; Magnoliopsida; Solanales; Solanaceae
Source: RefSeq, a predicted model, not a curated record
AAAAUUUUUAUCUCUCUCUUAUUUUUUUCAACCUAAUAUGCAUAUGUUCAAUUUUUUUUAUACUGUGUGUUACUAUGUCCAAUUUCCCACUCUCUCGUUCAUCAGUGGUACAAAUCUCAAAUUUAUUUGGAUAUGCUUGGGAGUGCACAUUUAUAAAGUAUGAAGAAGAGACAAUAUCAAUGCUACUUUGGUUGUUCUAUAGGCAACAAUAACUAAAUAUUAUUUAUACAUAUUCUAAGCAUGGGAUGUCCAUAGACAUCAAACAUCCUUCAAAGAAUCAUAUCGGAUGAUGCAUAUGUUAGCCAAUGUUCUCACGCUCCUGCCGCAUACGUGCAGUCACAGAUAAGGGACAUAAUUCUACACAAUGCAGUGGAGUGAAUGGUUCUCUAGUAACAUAGAGUUGAGUGAGAUUCUUUACUCAGAGAAUAUAUUUCAUGCCUAACUUAAAAGCAUAUAUGUUGCUAUUCAACCUCUUCCAGGAUCUAAUAAUUUUGGAGUAUGUAAAAUGUGUAGAAAAUGUAUAUUGUAGUUUUUAGUGGAGAAAAAAGACAUAGCAUUGAGACUUGUCAAAAAGAAAAAAAUAAGAAAAAGCUUGAACACUUCAAAGAUCUCAAUAGUUAAUAGCAUAUGCAUAUACUAUCGCUGAUUUUAGUAUUUUUGCUUUGUAGGUUUGGCUUAGAGCCUCUACUUUCUUACUAUCUUGUUAUUGCUAUUGUCUUCUUAAAUGCUGUGUUUUUGUUUUCUUUGAGUUGAGGGUCUUUUGAAGACAACCUCUCUAUCUUAGAAGAUAGCGGUCAGGUUUGCGCACAUUUUACCCUCCUCAAACUCCACUUGUGGACUAUACUAAAUAUGGUAUUGUUGUAUUAGGUAACUGAGGUGUAUGUGGUCAUGAAAAUGCAACAAUAAAGCACCUAGAUGAUGAAGUGUCGAGGUCUUACAAAAUAAAUCAUUUAGUGAUGAUAAAUUUGAAUAGGGUCAAUAAGAUCAGUGAUUACUUAUGUAGUUAAGGAUUUUAUCAAAUAAGAAGUUGAAGUUCAUUGGGCAUGGUGAUUUUGGCAUAAAUUGAUUAACUUGUUAUUAUGGGGGUGGGGGGAAUAUAAUAAUAAAAUUCAAUUUUAUGAGGUAAAUAGUAGUUACAGCGCAAGGAAUUUAUAACCUAGGCAUAUCUUUGUUUGAUUAAAUUUAACUUAUGAAGAGAACUUUUUGAGCAGCUCUUUUUGUAUUUCGGAAGCCUAUAGUAUGAGAUUCGAUUUUUUCAUCAUUCAGCGAAGUAUCUUGGUUAACAAUAUUUCCACCAAGUUGAUGCCCUUAUUAUGUAAGAGAAAGACUGAAACACAUAUUUUAUAUAUAGAUCGACUUAUCUUUUAAUCUACUUGCAAUUAAUGUUCUUUUCUUGUUUACAAUCCCAGUCUUUCCUCUGUUUUCAAACUUUACUGGUUUCUGUCGGAAAUGUAUCAUCAUUCAAUGUCUCUACUAAAAUGUACAGUAUUAAAAUUUUUGAUUGACUUUCUAAAGUUCUUUAUGAGCAUUGGCCCCAUCCACCAAGUAAUCAUGGAUACUUUGAGCGUGUAAGUUAAAUGAAAUUGAUUGUUGAGUUAAAAUGCGAGUUCAGUAAAAUUAUGCUACAAUUUCUCCUCUCACAAUUUUCAUCUUUCUUCAUCUGAUGUAUUGCCUUUGAUCUAUCUUCGACAGAAGAGACAAAGUACGAAACACGUCUAAUAAUUUUUCUACGAUGGUUAGUCGUAAAAUUACUUUUGAUGGUAUAGCAAAUGAUUACAGCUGAAAGAAGUAGUGUAAACCAUUGUAGAAUUUAAUUGGGUUGUUCUCUGAUCUGUGACUUUUAUAUUGCAUGUACAAAUUUUGGAGAGCGUAUAAGCUUUCUGGAAAAAGAAGUGGGAAGUGAACCGAGGAGCUCUGAAGGACAAUAGAAAAUUUAUGUGAACUGUCAUAUAUGAGUUAUGACUUCUACUUGCUUCAAUCAUGCCGGAUAUUUUCUUUUUACAUUUUUUAUGUACUACUUUAAUUUUUUUCUACUCUUUAUUGAUAUUUUUCAUUGCUCAAUGACUAUAAAAUAUUGGGCCCGUACUAGCAUGGGCCUUGCCCAUCUAGUAAUUACAAUAAAAGAUUCUUUUAUAUAUAUAAAAAAUAAUAUGAUCAUUAUUUUAGUUAAA